UGAGGAUCGAACCCGGGCCGCACGCAUGCCAGGUCACUCUUCCCUUUGACUCCUACUCUACCAGUCAUGCCUCAGUAAAGGCCUGAUCACAAGAAACUCCAACAUCUCACAAGUCUGUGUCUCUAAAGCCUCCAGAGUACCAGGAAGUGCCCUUUCAGUGAAGGAGCGAAUACAGGCAAAAUUACCUCAACAUCUAGUCCAAACUGGAUGGCAAAGCUCUCAGCUUCAGCAAAUCUGUGUUUGUGAAGUAACCGACUCAACCUGGUGACCCUUAAAUGCAGACCUCCCAAAAGAAGAAUAACAACAGCAACAUGUCAAGAACAGUCUUGAGUGAACCAUCAGCAAACUAAUCUAAGUUUCAAAAAAUAGUAUGUUCAAAGGCCCAUUCACCAACCUAAGAAUAACAAGAAAUCUAGAACUAAUAAAUACAAAAGUACUUUC
This is a non-coding RNA of Marmota flaviventris (yellow-bellied marmot), 441 nucleotides long. The record is from RefSeq and is a predicted model, not a curated record. Lineage: Eukaryota; Metazoa; Chordata; Mammalia; Rodentia; Sciuridae.